GACGAACGCUGGCGGCGUGCCUAAUACAUGCAAGUAGAACGCUGAAGCUUGGUGCUUGCACCGAGCGGAUGAGUUGCGAACGGGUGAGUAACGCGUAGGUAACCUGCCUGGUAGCGGGGGAUAACUAUUGGAAACGAUAGCUAAUACCGCAUAAGAGUAGAUGUUGCAUGACAUUUGCUUAAAAGGUGCAAUUGCAUCACUACCAGAUGGACCUGCGUUGUAUUAGCUAGUUGGUGGGGUAACGGCUCACCAAGGCGACGAUACAUAGCCGACCUGAGAGGGUGAUCGGCCACACUGGGACUGAGACACGGCCCAGACUCCUACGGGAGGCAGCAGUAGGGAAUCUUCGGCAAUGGACGGAAGUCUGACCGAGCAACGCCGCGUGAGUGAAGAAGGUUUUCGGAUCGUAAAGCUCUGUUGUAAGAGAAGAACGAGUGUGAGAGUGGAAAGUUCACACUGUGACGGUAUCUUACCAGAAAGGGACGGCUAACUACGUGCCAGCAGCCGCGGUAAUACGUAGGUCCCGAGCGUUGUCCGGAUUUAUUGGGCGUAAAGCGAGCGCAGGCGGUUAGAUAAGUCUGAAGUUAAAGGCUGUGGCUUAACCAUAGUACGCUUUGGAAACUGUUUAACUUGAGUGCAAGAGGGGAGAGUGGAAUU
Molecule: ribosomal RNA, 657 nt
Filed under: uncultured bacterium
Lineage: Bacteria
Description: bacterial SSU rRNA
Rfam family: Bacterial small subunit ribosomal RNA
Source: RNAcentral